GUGUAAUGUUGUUAACUCGCUGAUGUCGUUUUUGAGAAGACGGUAGUUUUGCAUUUGAUAAAUACCACCUAAUGACCAUGACGGCUACACGGCAGAUCUUUAUUGUGAUGGCUACACUGAAUGAUCACAUGGAGAUGCCGGUACAUUAUUUGUUUUACCCUGGUUAUAUUGAAAUGUUCUGCUUUGUCCAUUCCAAGGUGUGGUGUUUUCCAUUGCUGUUCCUUGCUCCUGUAUCACAACAUAUCAAGGCUGUCAAGUAAAUGAAGAAUGAAUCACCGCACACUGGUCAACAGCAGACAGGGUCCUUCCACAACCACAUACUUAUGCCAGUAAAAGCCACAGCUUUUCUCCUCCAAUCCAAGAAGCCUGGACUGCAGUCACCAUCUCAACACACCAACCAAGAGAAAGGCGGAUGGCUCAAUUCAGUAUGUAGUUCUGCAAAUAUUCUCAAAGGUCUUCACAGCCCCCCAUGGUGCUGAAUGCAUUUACAUUUAUUUGUGUAAGGUAAAAACAAUGCUGAUUACAGAACAUAACUAGGGCCAUGAAUGAAAUUUGAGGUAGCAGCCAGCCAUCACCUGAUGGUGAGAGGUGGUCCUAAGAUCAGAGAGAAGCAGGUUGAAAUCCCAUCCUUACCUCUCCCUACCUACACCUCCAUCCACAGCUGAAGUGCACUUGAGCAAGGCACACAAGUCCACUUAGGUCCUGGGACUGUAGUCAACACCCUGUAAAACCCUGCUGUGUAAUUUGAUGUAAUGAAGCCCUAAUAUAGUCUAACACAUUGCUUGUUACAGAUAUGGAAAAUUGCACAAUAAAAGUUCCAGGACAUGAAGGCUGCAUACUGUGAACGUCAACCUUCAGGGCACCGUCCUGCGCAGAAGACUUUCUACCCUAAGAGGGAUGGCUGACCGCAGACACUCACAACCAGCACAGACGCCUCCAACCUCAGACUAGGCCCUUCACAGUUGCUGCUUUUACCCACCUUCCCAGAGUUUUUGUGUGGUAAUGACAACUG
This is a long non-coding RNA of Engraulis encrasicolus (European anchovy), 1012 nucleotides long. RefSeq lists it as uncharacterized. Lineage: Eukaryota; Metazoa; Chordata; Actinopteri; Clupeiformes; Engraulidae. The transcript has 3 exons. The record is from RefSeq and is a predicted model, not a curated record.